GACAGAGGGUGCAAACGUUGCUCGGAAUCACUGGGCGUAAAGGGUGCGUAGGCGGCGCGGUAAGUCGGGUGUGAAAUCUCGGAGCUUAACUCCGAAACUGCAUUCGAUACUGCCGUGCUUGAGGACUGGAGAGGAGACUGGAAUUUACGGUGUAGCGGUGAAAUGCGUAGAUAUCGUAAGGAAGACCAGUGGCGAAGGCGGGUCUCUGGACAGUUCCUGACGCUGAGGCACGAAGGCCAGGGGAGCAAACGGG
This 253-nucleotide ribosomal RNA is filed under the name uncultured bacterium. RNAcentral describes it as "partial 16S ribosomal RNA". It matches the Rfam family "Bacterial small subunit ribosomal RNA", at positions 524 to 776 of the family's 1533-position model. The record is from RNAcentral.